Molecule: ribosomal RNA, 254 nt
Filed under: uncultured bacterium
Lineage: Bacteria
Description: partial 16S ribosomal RNA
Rfam family: Bacterial small subunit ribosomal RNA
Source: RNAcentral
UACGUAGGGCGCAAGCGUUAUCCGGAAUUAUUGGGCGUAAAGAGCUUGUAGGCGGUUUGUCGCGUCUGCUGUGAAAUUUCGGGGCUCAACCCCGAACUUGCAGUGGGUACGGGCAGACUAGAGUGUGGUAGGGGAGACUGGAAUUCCUGGUGUAGCGGUGAAAUGCGCAGAUAUCAGGAAGAACACCCGUGGCGAAGGCGGCUCUCUGGGACGGUACUGACGCUGAGACGCGAAAGCGUGGGGGAGCAAACAGG